This is an RNA transcript of Mus musculus (house mouse), 932 nucleotides long. It is a transcript of the gene named predicted pseudogene 7789, with no coding region annotated. The record is from RefSeq and is a predicted model, not a curated record. The transcript is spliced from 7 exons. Lineage: Eukaryota; Metazoa; Chordata; Mammalia; Rodentia; Muridae.
CUCUUUCGGGCUGGGCUUCACACUCAAGUAAGAGCUACUGGCCAGAUGGAGCCCAGCACCUCAACCAGGAAGCAUUUCACCAGCAAUGACUUUGAAAUUGGGCAUCCUCUGGGCAGGGGGAAAUUUGGGCGUGUGUACUUGGCUCCGCUCAAGGAAAAUCAUUUCAUUGUGGCCCUGAAGUACCUCUUCAAGUCUGAGAUAGAGAAGGAGGGAUUGGAGCACCAACUCCACGGAAGUGGAGAUCCAGGCACACCUACAACACCCGAACAUCCUUCGCCUGUACAACUACUUCUACGAUGACACUUGGAUAUACUUAAUUCUGGAGUAUGCUCCAGGAGGCAAGCUCUAUAAGGAGCUUCAGAGAUAUCAGAAGUUGGCCCAGCAGCAUACAGCCACGAUAAUACAGGAGUUGUCAGAUGCCCUGACCUACUGCCAUGAGAAGAAGGUGAUUCACAUGGACAUCAAGCCAGAGAAUCUCCUGCUGGGCCUCAAUGGUGAGGUGAAGAUCUCAGACUUUGGGUGGUCUGUGCAUUCCCCUUCUCUCAGGAGAAAGACAAUGUGUGGGACUCUGGACUACUUGCCCCUGGAAUGAUAGAGCAGAAACCGUACAAUGAGAUGGUUGAUCUGUGGUGCAUUGGGGUGCUCUGCUUUGAGCUGCUGGUGGGGAAGCCACCCUUUGAGAGCAGCACCUCCAGUGAGACAUAUAGACAUAUCUGCCAGGUGGAUUUUAAGUUUCCUUCAUCAGUGCCUGCAGGAGCCCAGGACAUGAUCUCCAAGCUUCUUAGUCACCAUUCUUCAGAGCAGCUGAGCCCGGCCCAGGUCCUGAAGCACCCCUGGGUCAGGGAACACUCUCGAAGGGUGCUGCCUCCCUGUGUUCAUGGGGCUUCCUGAGCCCUGUCCAUCUCUAUCCCUAUGUAUUUCUUCAGGAAGCU